Molecule: long non-coding RNA, 1324 nt
Organism: Physeter macrocephalus (sperm whale)
Lineage: Eukaryota; Metazoa; Chordata; Mammalia; Artiodactyla; Physeteridae
Exons: 3
Source: RefSeq, a predicted model, not a curated record
UUUGCAGAUAGAAACCCCUUCCACCUGAAAUGCUGUCACAAAUACUUUGGAGCCUUAACUUGUUAAUCUUAGAGAUGAACAGCAAAGAUACCCAGGAUUGCUUUGAAAGAGUCAUUGAUGUGAACCACUGAUGAAUGGAAUUGGCAAGUAUAGAAAGUUCCCUCUGUCGUUUCUGAAUCCUCAGCAAGCUACCAUGUCUGCAGCCUCUGACCCUCAUGUGCUCUUCUGGGGACAGUGAUUUUCAACUGGUAAACAAGGACACCACCACUCUGGACUCAGGAAAUGGAACCCUGUUCUCACCCUUCUACCUUUUUACCCCAGAAUGUGCCCUUAUCCAUCCCUAAUUUCCUACAGUACUCCAGAGACAAGGCCAUAAUUUUUGUUGAGAUUUUAUUGACGAUUACCAGAUUAUGUGAGGCAAAGAACACAGUUUACACCUACUGCACAGUUCAUAUUUUUUCUAGGUUCCAUUGCUAGACCAAUUCCCUAAUGCAGGCUGACUCCAAACGGCCUAGGAAAGUCCCUCAACCCCCCACUCCCCAUCACUACCAAAAACCUGAGAGUUUGCAGUUUCCAAUCAUGGAUAAACUGAUCCUCACCAUGGAGAAGGGAAAGCUGCUCCCACAACUCAAUCUCUAAAAAGUACUCAAAGUGUCUCAAAUUUAUAUUCCUGGAAUCAAAGAUGUGAACCUGAAAUCAAUGGAAUGGAUCAAAGGGCUAGAAUGUGAUGGGUUGGAUAUAGAAAUUCAGUCUCCUAUUACUCCAAAGAACAUGAUUCAUGUUAAGAUGAAGAAGAACAGGGUUGACAAUAUCUUACAGUGAACUCAGUGCUUCACCUCUUCCCAGGAUAGUAAACAUAGGGAACCAAAAUGUCCAUCCAUGGUCCAAGAAGACUUAACACCCUGCCCCUGUGUAAUCCUACACAGCAGUGUGAAAAAGCAGGCAGGACCUCUAGAAGUUUAGACUUCUUUGGGGCCAGUGCUGAGGGCAUAGAGGACUUGGAACAGAGUUGGUUAUCAAUUCUCUCUUUUCCUUUUGUCUCCGCACUCAAACUUAGACCUCAUUUCUUGGGUGUUACAAAAGAUAAAUGGACUGCAAAAUCAUUCUUAGUAGGUGGUAUCAGCGAUGGCAUCACAAUCCCUAGUGGGCAUUUUAGGAAUUAACCCAGUCCUGGAUGCAUUCUGUUUAGAGCAAGGAAACCCUUCCCAGGAAUAUCAAUAAUUUGCUGCCCAAGAGCACCUUGCUGUCCAAGUCUAUUUACAAUUACCUUUUUCAUAAUCCUGAAUUAAAUCUUAAUAUGUUAUAUAUGAAGAAAGACCCUCUA